ACUGCUCAGUAACACGUGGCUAACCUGCCCUUGGGACAAGGACAACUCCGGGAAACUGGGGCUAAUCCCUGAUAGGUGAGAACUCCUGGAAUGGAUUCUCGCUGAAAGGACGUUUAGACCAUGCUUCUAGGCGUCGCCCAAGGAGGGGGCCGCGACCGAUCAGGUUGUUGGUGAGGUAACGGCUCACCAAGCCUUUAACCGGUACGGGCCGUGAGAGCGGAAGCCCGGAGAUGGGCACUGAGACAAGGGCCCAGGCCCUACGGGGCGCAGCAGUCGCGAAAACUCCGCAAUACACGAAAGUGUGACGGGGCCAUCCCGAGUGCCAUCCGCUGAGGAUGGCUUUUCCCCAGUGUAUAAAGCUGGGGGAAUAAGGAGAGGGCAAGCCUGGUGUCAGCCGCCGCGGUAAUACCAGCUCUCCGAGUGGUGGGGAUGUUUAUUGGGCCUAAAGCAUUCGUAGCCUGCUUGGCAAGUCCUCCGUUAAAUCCAACGAUUCAAUCGUUGGGCUGCGGGGGAUACUGCCCGGCUAGGGGGCGGGAGAGGCCGACGGUAUCCCCGGGGUAGGGGUGAAAUCCUAUAAUCCCGGGAGGACCACCAGUGGCGAAGGCUGUCGGCUAGAACGCGCUCGACGGUGAGGGAUGAAAGCUGGGGGAGCGAACCGGAUUAGAUACCCGGGUAGUCCCAGCUGUAAACGAUGCAGGCUAGGUGUUGGUGCGGCUACGUGCCGCUCCAGUGCCGCAGGGAAGCCGUUAAGCCUGCCGCCUGGGAAGUACGGCCGCAAGGCUGAAACUUAAAGGAAUUGGCGGGGGAGCACCACAAGGUGUGAAGCUUGCGGUUUAAUUGGAGUCAACGCCGGA
This 854-nucleotide ribosomal RNA is filed under the name uncultured archaeon. RNAcentral's name for it is "bacterial SSU rRNA". It matches the Rfam family "Archaeal small subunit ribosomal RNA", at positions 85 to 922 of the family's 1478-position model. The record is from RNAcentral.